Molecule: long non-coding RNA, 180 nt
Organism: Lemur catta (Ring-tailed lemur)
Lineage: Eukaryota; Metazoa; Chordata; Mammalia; Primates; Lemuridae
Exons: 2
Source: RefSeq, a predicted model, not a curated record
CCGCUACCGUCAGGAUCCGUCUCAUCUGUGGGCUGCCACUGUAUGGACAAACGCAACGCAGUGGAAAAUCUUCGGCAUCCUUCCGUGUGAGGAGCACCUGUUAAGGCAUCAGCCAGCACGAUGCUAUUUCUGGGAGAAGAGGGAACAAUAAACUAGAAAAUGGUAUUGCCAAGUGCAAUA